GAUGCCCUAUGAGGGGCGUGCCUAUUACAUGCAAGUCGAGCGAACAGACCUUGAGCUUGCUCCUUUGACGUUAGCGGCGGACGGGUGAGUAACACGUGGGUAACCUACCUAUAAGACUGGGAUAACUUCGGGAAACCGGAGCUAAUACCGGAUAAUAUUUCGAACCGCAUGGUUCGAUAGUGAAAGAUGGUUUUGCUAUCACUUAUAGAUGGACCCGCGCCGUAUUAGCUAGUUGGUAAGGUAACGGCUUACCAAGGCGACGAUACGUAGCCGACCUGAGAGGGUGAUCGGCCACACUGGAACUGAGACACGGUCCAGACUCCUACGGGAGGCAGCAGUAGGGAAUCUUCCGCAAUGGGCGAAAGCCUGACGGAGCAACGCCGCGUGAGUGAUGAAGGUCUUCGGAUCGUAAAACUCUGUUAUUAGGGAAGAACAUACGUGUAAGUAACUAUGCACGUCUUGACGGUACCUAAUCAGAAAGCCACGGCUAACUACGUGCCAGCAGCCGCGGUAAUACGUAGGUGGCAAGCGUUAUCCGGAAUUAUUGGGCGUAAAGCGCGCGUAGGCGGUUUUUUAAGUCUGAUGGGAAAGCCCACGGCUCAACCGUGGAGGGUCAUUGGAAACUGUAAAACUUGAGGGCAAAAGAGGAAAGUGGAAUUCCGUGUGUAGCGGUGAAAUGCGCAGAGAUACGGAGGAACACCAGUGGCGAAGGCGACUUUCUGGUCUGUAACUGACGCUGAUGUGCGAAAGCGUGGGGAUCAAACAGGAUUAGAUACCCUGGUAGUCCACGCCGUAAACGAUGAGUGCUAAGUGUUAGGGGGUUUCCGCCCCUUAGUGCUGCAGCUAACGCAUUAAGCACUCCGCCUGGGGAGUACGACCGCAAGGUUGAAACUCAAAGGAAUUGACGGGGACCCGCACAAGCGGUGGAGCAUGUGGUUUAAUUCGAAGCAACGCGAAGAACCUUACCAAAUCUUGACAUCCUUUGACAACUCUAGAGAUAGAGCCUUCCCCUUCGGGGGACAAAGUGACAGGUGGUGCAUGGUUGUCGUCAGCUCGUGUCGUGAGAUGUUGGGUUAAGUCCCGCAACGAGCGCAACCCUUAAGCUUAGUUGCCAUCAUUAAGUUGGGCACUCUAAGUUGACUGCCGGUGACAAACCGGAGGAAGGUGGGGAUGACGUCAAAUCAUCAUGCCCCUUAUGAUUUGGGCUACACACGUGCUACAAUGGACAAUACAAAGGGCAGCGAAACCGCGAGGUCAAGCAAAUCCCAUAAAGUUGUUCUCAGUUCGGAUUGUAGUCUGCAACUCGACUACAUGAAGCUGGAAUCGCUAGUAAUCGUAGAUCAGCAUGCUACGGUGAAUACGUUCCCGGGUCU
This 1373-nucleotide ribosomal RNA is filed under the name uncultured bacterium. RNAcentral describes it as "bacterial SSU rRNA". It matches the Rfam family "Bacterial small subunit ribosomal RNA", at positions 28 to 1381 of the family's 1533-position model. The record is from RNAcentral.